RNAcentral lists this non-coding RNA (27 nucleotides) under Homo sapiens (human). Lineage: Eukaryota; Metazoa; Chordata; Mammalia; Primates; Hominidae. The record is from RNAcentral.
UAGUUAGAAUUAACUUUGAGUGACCUU